UGCGUAGGCGGGCUAAUAAGUCAGUGGUGAAAUCUCUCGGCUCAACCGGGAAACUGCCAUUGAUACUGUUAGUCUUGAGUUCGGUUGAGGUAGGCGGAAUGUGUAAUGUAGCGGUGAAAUGCUUAGAUAUUACACAGAACACCAAUUGCGUAGGCAGCUUACUAGACCGACACUGACGCUGUGGCACGAAAGCGUGGGGAGCGAACAGGAUUAGAUACCCUGGUAGUCC
Molecule: ribosomal RNA, 229 nt
Filed under: uncultured bacterium
Lineage: Bacteria
Description: partial 16S ribosomal RNA
Rfam family: Bacterial small subunit ribosomal RNA
Source: RNAcentral